UCCGAUUGUUGUGUCACAACCAAUACCGGCAGAUAAAUCCCAAGUGGAAGCUUGGUUUAAUGGCAUUAUCAAGCCGGUGAAGGAAAGGGGUACAACCUUAGACCCUGAAUUGGUUCAAGCCGAGACAGAACCUAGAAUCAUAAAGGUGAUGCAAGGUGGGGGUGGAGAAUUCGAUACCAUAACCAAAGCCAUCGAGAGCGUUCCAUCAGGGAACGCCAAACGCGUGAUCAUAUCCAUCGGACCUGGAUCUUACAAAGAGAAAAUUAGAAUUGAAAGAAAUAAGCCUUUCAUUACAUUGUUAGGAGAUCCUAAAAACAUGCCAAAUUUGACAUUUGACGGCACCGCCAAGCAAUAUGGAACCGUAGAUAGUGCCACUCUUAUUACUGAGAGUAAUUACUUUGUGGGUGCUAAUCUCAAUAUAGUGGUAAGUUAAUGUAGAGUUUAGACAACCAUGAUCUGUCCUUUAUUGAAUUGAUUAUUAAAGGGAUUUUUUUUUUAUGGUGGCAUGUUAUGCAUAUAGAACUCUGCUCCAAGGCCAGACGGUAAAAUGGUAGGAGCACAGGCGGUUGCUCUGAGAGUCUCCGGCGACAGGUCGGCUUUCUAUAACUGCAAGAUCAUUGGCUUCCAGGACACUUUGUGCGAUGACAGGGGCAACCAUUUCUUUAAGGAUUGCCAUAUUCGUGGCACUGUUGAUUUCAUUUUCGGAAGCGGGACAUCUUUAUAUCUGGUAUUCAUAUUCCCAAUGCGUGAAAUAUGAUGUAUUAUACCCCCAUAUAUACAUUUGACAAGAAAAGUGGGAUGCAGAACACGGAAAUAUUCGUGGUAGGAGAUCCAGAAGGAGAUCCGGAAAUGGCAAUAAUUACAGCACAUGCGCGAGAAAGUUCAUCGGAGGACACGGGUUAUUCGUUCGUGCAUGGCAGAAUUACAGGAACAGCGAAGGACGUAUUUUUGGGCAGGGCCUGGAAGAGCAGUCCGAGGGUUGUUUAUUCUUAUACUGAAAUGGACGAAAUCGUCCAUCCUGGUGGAUGGUCUAGUAAUCGCCAACCUGAACGAGCCGAGUAAGAUAAUACUCAGCCUUACAACGUUACAUGCCUACAAGUAAACUAAUCUUUCCCAACUUAUUGAUAAAUUUAUUAAGAUAUAUAAUGUGAGAAUGGUUUGACACGCAGCACUGUGUACUACGGAGAAUACAAAUGCACGGGGAAAGGCGCGACUCCUGCUACACGAGAGAAAUUCGUCAAACAACUAUCGGAUGCGGAAGCUAAACCAUUCUUGGUUCUUGACUACGUUGAAGGUACCAAAUGGUUGCUUCCCCCUCCGACAGUACCUAAAUAAUUCAUUCAUUCCCAACUUUUUCAUGCCGGCAACAUAUCCUCACAGUAUUGCUAAUUCAAGCAGACUCUCGUCUACCUCUUUGCUGGGUGGAAAUAACUAGCCAUCCAUUUUAUUUUAUUUAUUUUAUUUUCCCUUCCCAUGGCUUGUAUUUUAACAAAUAGCCAAAUGUCAAUAAGAAGCAGAAUUUAGUCUUAUUUUUAUUAAUAGUUAGGAUGUUGAUAUUUGCCAUUAUGUAGAAAAUUUCCAUCAUAUCAAGUUAAAAUUAUGUAAUAAUAUCCAUCAUAUAUCCAAGUUCAUUGAUUCAAUAAGUCAAGGUGAUUUCACAAACUUUUGCAUUUUAGCAAAUAAAUGGACCAUUACUGUAUAUUUGUGUAACAGCUCGUUUUCAGUAGUGUCAGAAAUAGUGGAUUUGGGACCACGAUUUUGACAAGCAGUCAGCAUUUUAAUUAAUUUUUCUUUGAUAAAAUUAUUUUAAUUAUUUAUUUAGUAUUUGCUGGGUUCAUGCCCCCCUUAAUGACUUCCUAGGGUUUAGGUUCUUCCUUUCCCAAACAGUUGAUCCGUUGAGUAGCCCUAUAAAACAGUUAACAAAUCAUACCUCCACUCGCUAAUCCCCCAUAGAGGGAUCAGUUCCUCAUGGUUUUCAUAGAUAAUAUGGAAUUGAGUUAAAGAUAGAACAUGAUAAUUGAAUUGAGGUGUAGAGUUUAAAAAAGUACCUGAUUUGUAGUAAAGAUGAAUAUGAAUUCACAAAGUUUGAUCGUCUUUACACAUCAGAUCUCUCGAGAUAAAGCAAGAACAACUUGAAAAUAAUUCUAAAAACCUAAAAGAAAGAAUAUCUGAACUGGAAUUAAAAGAAAAAAAAACUAUACUAAGUAAUUGAUGUCCGUAACAUGUGAAAAAAGAUCCUAUUUAUAGAUUUCAGGUGGCCUUCGUCGUCAAACCUAGGUUAGUUGAAGUUCUAGAGCUUUAAGUUUGAUUAUGCAAACCAAAACGCCCUCUGGCUCGUGUUAGUUUCCGUCCAGAGUCGAUGUCGCGAUACAUCAGGACCUGUGUCGCAACAAAGGAUUCUAUACACUCCUCUUGGGAUAUCUUUAGGGGUAUGUCGCAACACCCUUAUAUUGUGUCGCAACAUCGAAAGCAGUUUCGUGAUUUCUUUAUCCUGCUCCCUAAGUUGCUACAUUGAUCAUUUUGUGUUGAGACAUAGUGACCAGCAUCUGUUAAUUACUCCUUCUAAUGCUCUCCUGCACACUUACACAGUUCAUUAGCUUCCCCUUAAACCUCUUCCAGCCCCUAAGGUUAAUAAAAGGCUCAAUUUGUACAUCACAUUACAUUUAAGAAGAGUUGCAAGAACAUAAUUAAAAUCUAACGAAAAUGCUUGCUUUCAACCUCCUAAAGUGCGGAAAUUAGUUUAAUCUACUACACGGAAUUACGGUAUGUCAAGUACACGACUUCAUGCUCGAAUCCACGAUUUAUAAUGUUAUUUAUAGCCCUUUUCACAUAAUUUUGGCUUUUUUUUAAUAGCUAAAUCAAGUCAUUUUGUAAUAAUAUAUGUUUUUACAGGUUAAACAGUUAACUUAGUUUUUUUUAAUAUUUUUAUUGUAUUUGAUAGCUAAAAAAAGGUUAUGUGGUUGAUGUCGUGACCACAAAGUAUGGAAGUAAUAUAAAUAUUAACUUUGUUAAUUACCAUUUGAUUCUUUUUUAGUAAUAUAAAUACUUGCUUAAUUUAAAUCUGUUCCUAUAAUAUACUUUAAGAUGUAUUCCCUAUGUUUUAUAUAAUCACAACUUGUGUGAAAUUGCCGUAUAAAAUUUAUAUUUUUAUUUAGAAACUUAGUACGUUAUAGAUAUUUUAUGUUCGGUAUUGUGUUUCGUAGAUUCUAUCAACAAAUUUUUUCGACCUUUCACGAAUGAAAGAAAAGGAAACAUAAAACUUAAUUGGCAAUUUCCAAUUAGAAUCAAACUUUUCCUCAUUUAUAUAAACCUAAUAGAUAAUUAAUUUAGUAAUAAAUUCAAAAUAAACAAGUAAGUAUUAACGGGGCAACAAAUGAAGGCAACAACAUAAAAUAUUUCCAUUCCUUACAUUAAAUUCACCCGGUUUAGGUUUUGCACUUAGGAUUAUUGUUCAAUGAUCAUGGGUGUCUGUAGUCCAAAUUUUGUGUAUUUGGCAACAAUUAUAUUCAAUUUAUACUCAUUAAUAGCGAUCAACUGCCAAAUGCUCGGUCUGAACUGUAGCAAUGCUUGCACCAAGAACUACGCAAAUGAGUGGCAAUGCGAGGAAUCCUCCAAGGCUCAUUUGUUUUAAUAUUUUUUUUGUCACCAAUUUAUCUUAUAAAUUGGAGUCACUUAGAAUUCAAAGACAACCUCAAUAAUCAAUAAACGAAGAAAAUAAACAAAUUACUCUUUUUAUUAAAAGGAAAGAAGGAGGAGGAGGAAAUGGAUGGAAAAAGAAUCGAGGGCAAUGAAGUUUAUGCUCUAGCAAUGUGUGUAAGUAUUCUCCUCUUUGCUCCGAUUGUUGUGUCACAACCAAUACCGGCAGAUAAAUCCCAAGUGGAAGCUUGGUUUAAUGGCAUUAUCAAGCCGGUGAAGGAAAGGGGUACAACCUUAGACCCUGAAUUGGUUCAAGCCGAGACAGAACCUAGAAUCAUAAAGGUGAUGCAAGGUGGGGGUGGAGAAUUCGAUACCAUAACCAAAGCCAUCGAGAGCGUUCCAUCAGGGAACGCCAAACGCGUGAUCAUAUCCAUCGGACCUGGAUCUUACAAAGAGAAAAUUAGAAUUGAAAGAAAUAAGCCUUUCAUUACAUUGUUAGGAGAUCCUAAAAACAUGCCAAAUUUGACAUUUGACGGCACCGCCAAGCAAUAUGGAACCGUAGAUAGUGCCACUCUUAUUACUGAGAGUAAUUACUUUGUGGGUGCUAAUCUCAAUAUAGUGGUAAGUUAAUGUAGAGUUUAGACAACCAUGAUCUGUCCUUUAUUGAAUUGAUUAUUAAAGGGAUUUUUUUUUAUGGUGGCAUGUUAUGCAUAUAGAACUCUGCUCCAAGGCCAGACGGUAAAAUGGUAGGAGCACAGGCGGUUGCUCUGAGAGUCUCCGGCGACAGGUCGGCUUUCUAUAACUGCAAGAUCAUUGGCUUCCAGGACACUUUGUGCGAUGACAGGGGCAACCAUUUCUUUAAGGAUUGCCAUAUUCGUGGCACUGUUGAUUUCAUUUUCGGAAGCGGGACAUCUUUAUAUCUGGUAUUCAUAUUCCCAAUGCGUGAAAUAUGAUGUAUUAUACCCCCAUAUAUACAUUUGACAAGAAAAGUGGGAUGCAGAACACGGAAAUAUUCGUGGUAGGAGAUCCAGAAGGAGAUCCGGAAAUGGCAAUAAUUACAGCACAUGCGCGAGAAAGUUCAUCGGAGGACACGGGUUAUUCGUUCGUGCAUGGCAGAAUUACAGGAACAGCGAAGGACGUAUUUUUGGGCAGGGCCUGGAAGAGCAGUCCGAGGGUUGUUUAUUCUUAUACUGAAAUGGACGAAAUCGUCCAUCCUGGUGGAUGGUCUAGUAAUCGCCAACCUGAACGAGCCGAGUAAGAUAAUACUCAGCCUUACAACGUUACAUGCCUACAAGUAAACUAAUCUUUCCCAACUUAUUGAUAAAUUUAUUAAGAUAUAUAAUGUGAGAAUGGUUUGACACGCAGCACUGUGUACUACGGAGAAUACAAAUGCACGGGGAAAGGCGCGACUCCUGCUACACGAGAGAAAUUCGUCAAACAACUAUCGGAUGCGGAAGCUAAACCAUUCUUGGUUCUUGACUACGUUGAAGGUACCAAAUGGUUGCUUCCCCCUCCGACAGUACCUAAAUAAUUCAUUCAUUCCCAACUUUUUCAUGCCGGCAACAUAUCCUCACAGUAUUGCUAAUUCAAGCAGACUCUCGUCUACCUCUUUGCUGGGUGGAAAUAACUAGCCAUCCAUUUUAUUUUAUUUAUUUUAUUUUCCCUUCCCAUGGCUUGUAUUUUAACAAAUAGCCAAAUGUCAAUAAGAAGCAGAAUUUAGUCUUAUUUUUAUUAAUAGUUAGGAUGUUGAUAUUUGCCAUUAUGUAGAAAAUUUCCAUCAUAUCAAGUUAAAAUUAUGUAAUAAUAUCCAUCAUAUAUCCAAGUUCAUUGAUUCAAUAAGUCAAGGUGAUUUCACAAACUUUUGCAUUUUAGCAAAUAAAUGGACCAUUACUGUAUAUUUGUGUAACAGCUCGUUUUCAGUAGUGUCAGAAAUAGUGGAUUUGGGACCACGAUUUUGACAAGCAGUCAGCAUUCUAAUUAAUUUUUCUUUGAUAAAAUUAUUUUAAUUAUUUAUUUAGUAUUUGCUGGGUUCAUGCCCCCCUUAAUGACUUCCUAGGGUUUAGGUUCUUCCUUUCCCAAACAGUUGAUCCGUUGAGUAGCCCUAUAAAACAGUUAACAAAUCAUACCUCCACUCGCUAAUCCCCCAUAGAGGGAUCAGUUCCUCAUGGUUUUCAUAGAUAAUAUGGAAUUGAGUUAAAGAUAGAACAUGAUAAUUGAAUUGAGGUGUAGAGUUUAAAAAAGUACCUGAUUUGUAGUAAAGAUGAAUAUGAAUUCACAAAGUUUGAUCGUCUUUACACAUCAGAUCUCUCGAGAUAAAGCAAGAACAACUUGAAAAUAAUUCUAAAAACCUAAAAGAAAGAAUAUCUGAACUGGAAUUAAAAGAAAAAAAAACUAUACUAAGUAAUUGAUGUCCGUAACAUGUGAAAAAAGAUCCUAUUUAUAGAUUUCAGGUGGCCUUCGUCGUCAAACCUAGGUUAGUUGAAGUUCUAGAGCUUUAAGUUUGAUUAUGCAAACCAAAACGCCCUCUGGCUCGUGUUAGUUUCCGUCCAGAGUCGAUGUCGCGAUACAUCAGGACCUGUGUCGCAACAAAGGAUUCUAUACACUCCUCUUGGGAUAUCUUUAGGGGUAUGUCGCAACACCCUUAUAUUGUGUCGCAACAUCGAAAGCAGUUUCGUGAUUUCUUUAUCCUGCUCCCUAAGUUGCUACAUUGAUCAUUUUGUGUUGAGACAUAGUGACCAGCAUCUGUUAAUUACUCUUUCUAAUGCUCUCCUGCAUACUUACACAGUUCAUUAGCUUCCCCUUAAACCUCAUCCAGCCCCUAAGGUUAAUAAAAGGCUCAAUUUGUACAUCACAUUACAUUUAAGAAGAGUUGCAAGAACAUAAUUAAAAUCUAACGAAAAUGCUUGCUUUCAACCUCCUAAAGUGCGGAAAUUAGUUUAAUCUACUACACGGAAUUACGGUAUGUCAAGUACACGACUUCAUGCUCGAAUCCACGAUUUAUAAUGUUAUUUAUAGCCCUUUUCACAUAAUUUUGGCUUUUUUUUAAUAGCUAAAUCAAGUCAUUUUGUAAUAAUAUAUGUUUUUACAGGUUAAAUAGUUAAGUUAGUUUUUUUUUAAUAGAUUUUAUUGUAUUUGAUAGCUAAAAAAAGGUUAUGUGGUUCUAUAAGAUGAACCGAGAGUUAAUAAUGGAAUUUCAGGCCAAAACUGCUGCUGAUGUCGUGACCACAAAGUAUGGAAGUAAUAUAAAUAUUAACUUUGUUAAUUACCAUUUGAUUCUUUUUUAGUAAUAUAAAUACUUGCUUAAUUUAAAUCUGUUCCUAUAAUAUACUUUAAGAUGUAUUCCCUAUGUUUCAUAUAAUCACAACUUGUGUGAAAUUGCCGUAUAAAAUUUAUAUUUUUAUUUAGAAACUUAGUACGUUAUAGAUAUUUUAUGUUCGGUAUUGUGUUUCGUAGAUUCUAUCAACAAAUUUUUUCGACCUUUCACGAAUGAAAGAAAAGGAACAUAAAACUUAAUUGGCAAUUUCCAAUUAGAAUCAAACUUUUCCUCAUUUAUAUAAACCUAAUAGAUAAUUAAUUUAGUAAUAAAUUCAAAAUAAACAAGUAAGUAUUAACGGGGCAACAAAUGAAGGCAACAACAUAAAAUAUUUCCAUUCCUUACAUUAAAUUCACCCGGUUUAGGUUUUGCACUUAGGAUUAUUGUUCAAUGAUCAUGGGUGUCUGAAGUCCAAAUUCCGUGUAUUUGGCAACAAUUAUAUUCAAUUUAUACUCAUUAAUGGCGAUCAACUGCCAAAUGCUCGGUCUGAACUGUAGCAAUGCUUGCACCAAGAACUACGCAAAUGAGUGGCAAUGCGAGGAAUCCUCCAAGGCUCAUUUGUUUUAAUAUUUUUUUGUCACCAAUUUAUCUUAUAAAUUGGAGUCACUUAGAAUUCAAAGACAACCUCAAUAAUCAAUAAACGAAGAAAAUAAACAAAUUACUCUUUUUAUUAAAAGGAAAGAAGGAGGAGGAGGAAAUGGAUGGAAAAAGAAUCGAGGGCAAUGAAGUUUAUGCUCUAGCAAUGUGUGUAAGUAUUCUCCUCUUUGCUCCGAUUGUUGUGUCACAACCAAUACCGGCAGAUAAAUCCCAAGUGGAAGCUUGGUUUAAUGGCAUUAUCAAGCCGGUGAAGGAAAGGGGUACAACCUUAGACCCUGAAUUGGUUCAAGCCGAGACAGAACCUAGAAUCAUAAAGGUGAUGCAAGGUGGGGGUGGAGAAUUCGAUACCAUAACCAAAGCCAUCGAGAGCGUUCCAUCAGGGAACGCCAAACGUGUGAUUAUAUCCGUCGGACCUGGAUCUUACAAAGAGAAAAUUAGAAUUGAAAGAAAUAAGCCUUUCAUUACAUUGUUAGGAGAUCCUAAAAACAUGCCAAAUUUGACAUUUGACGGCACCGCCAAGCAAUAUGGAACCGUAGAUAGUGCCACU
This 8093-nucleotide long non-coding RNA is filed under the name Gossypium barbadense (sea-island cotton). RNAcentral describes it as "long non-coding RNA (GBAR_LNC023232)". Lineage: Eukaryota; Viridiplantae; Streptophyta; Magnoliopsida; Malvales; Malvaceae. The record is from RNAcentral.